RNAcentral lists this ribosomal RNA (506 nucleotides) under uncultured bacterium. Its description in RNAcentral is "partial 16S ribosomal RNA". It matches the Rfam family "Bacterial small subunit ribosomal RNA", at positions 29 to 523 of the family's 1533-position model. The record is from RNAcentral.
AGUGAACGCUGGCGGUAGGCCUAACACAUGCAAGUCGAACGGCAGCACAGGAGAGCUUGCUCUCUGGGUGGCGAGUGGCGGACGGGUGAGGAAUACAUCGGAAUCUACUUUUUCGUGGGGGAUAACGUAGGGAACCUUACGCUAAUACCGCAUACGACCUACGGGUGAAAGCAGGGGACCUUCGGGCCUUGCGCGAUUGAAUGAGCCGAUGUCGGAUUAGCUAGUUGGCGGGGUAAAGGCCCCACAAGGCGACGAGCCGUAGCUGGUCUGAGAGGAUGAUCAGCCACACUGGAACUGAGACACGGUCCAGACUCCUACGGGAGGCCGCAGUGGGGAAUAUUGGACAAUGGGCGCAAGCCUGAUCCAGCCAUACCGCGUGGGUGAGGAAGGCCUUCGGGUUGUAAAGCCCUUUUGUUGGGAAAGAAAUCCAGCUGGCUAAUACCCGGUUGGGAUGACGGUACCCAAAGAAUAAGCACCGGCUAACUUCGUGCCAGCAGCCGCAGUAA